RNAcentral lists this ribosomal RNA (375 nucleotides) under uncultured organism. Its description in RNAcentral is "partial 16S ribosomal RNA". It matches the Rfam family "Bacterial small subunit ribosomal RNA", at positions 527 to 896 of the family's 1533-position model. The record is from RNAcentral.
GUAGGAUUCGAACGUUAUCCGGAUUUACUGGGCGUAAAGCGCGUGCAGGGCGGGUUUGGGAAAGUUGGGAUGUGAAAGCUCCGGGCUCAACCCGGAGAGGUCAUUCAAAACUACCAGACUAGAGGACGGUAGAGGGAGGUGGAAUUCCGGGUGUAGCGGUGAAAUGCGUAGAUAUCCGGAGGAACACCAGUGGCGAAGGCGGCCUCCUGGGCCGUUCCUGACGCUCAGACGCGAAAGCUAGGGGAGCAAACGGGAUUAGAAACCCCGGUAGUCCUAGCUGUAAACGAUGUAGACUUGGUGUUGGUGGCCUUAAAACCAUCAGUGCCGCAGCUAACGCGAUAAGUCUACCGCCUGGGGAUUACGACCGCAGGGUUA